RNAcentral lists this ribosomal RNA (274 nucleotides) under uncultured bacterium. Its description in RNAcentral is "partial 16S ribosomal RNA". It matches the Rfam family "Archaeal small subunit ribosomal RNA", at positions 473 to 747 of the family's 1478-position model. The record is from RNAcentral.
AAACCAGCACCUCAAGUGGUCAGGAUGAUUAUUGGGCCUAAAGCAUCCGUAGCCGGCUCUGUAAGUUUUCGGUUAAAUCUGUACGCUUAACGUACAGGCUGCUGGGAAUACUGCAGGGCUAGGGAGUGGGAGAGGUAGACGGUACUCGGGAGGAAGUGGUAAAAUGCUUUGAUCUCUCGAUGACCACCUGUGGCGAAGGCGGUCUACCAGAACACGUCCGACGGUGAGGGAUGAAAGCUGGGGGAGCAAACCGGAUUAGAUACCCGGGUAGUCC